GAUGAACGCUGGCGGCGUGCCUAAUACAUGCAAGUCGAGCGAACAGACGAGGAGCUUGCUCCUCUGACGUUAGCGGCGGACGGGUGAGUAACACGUGGAUAACCUACCUAUAAGACUGGGAUAACUUCGGGAAACCGGAGCUAAUACCGGAUAAUAUAUUGAACCGCAUGGUUCAAUAGUGAAAGACGGUUUUGCUGUCACUUAUAGAUGGAUCCGCGCCGCAUUAGCUAGUUGGUAAGGUAACGGCUUACCAAGGCAACGAUGCGUAGCCGACCUGAGAGGGUAAUCGGCCACACUGGAACUGAGACACGGUCCAGACUCCUACGGGAGGCAGCAGUAGGGAAUCUUCCGCAAUGGGCGAAAGCCUGACGGAGCAACGCCGCGUGAGUGAUGAAGGUCUUCGGAUCGUAAAACUCUGUUAUUAGGGUAGAACAAAUGUGUAAGUAACUAUGCACGUCUUGACGGUACCUAAUCAGAAAGCCACGGCUAACUACGUG
RNAcentral lists this ribosomal RNA (497 nucleotides) under uncultured bacterium. RNAcentral's name for it is "partial 16S ribosomal RNA". It matches the Rfam family "Bacterial small subunit ribosomal RNA", at positions 28 to 507 of the family's 1533-position model. The record is from RNAcentral.